GCUUGAUCGUUUGAGAGCCACAUAUCCAUAAUUAGUUGUUUAAUACUACUCCUGAUCCGGGACUCAAAUUGGCUAUUUGCACUUCAAGGAAAACACUGUCACUACUGCUCAGAAGAGGAUACGUUAUCUCUUCCUGUAAAAGAAACCCAACCAGCACCUCUCUCCAGCUCUGUGAGACCCUGGGACGAAUUGUCCGCGAAUAAAACCCACGGACUCCCGAUCCAUUUACAGGAAUGCAUCCUAGUCCAUCUACUAUCCAGUUCGUUCUCACCUCAGUGUCAGCAGUCUUGAACCGGGUGCGAGGAUGCUGUGGCCAUUAUUGGAGACGUUACACUUCAGAAGAGGAUACGUUAUCUCUUCCUGUAAAAGAAACCCAACCAGCACCUCUCUCCAGCUCUGUGAGACCCUGGGUUUUGGAUGUUCAUCAUGGCCUGGCCCUGGCAUAGGGGGAUUCCAAUGAGCUGCACUGAAGAGAAAAUGUGAAAGGCUCUUCUCUACUCCGUUUGCAUUCUUUUUU
Long non-coding RNA from Coregonus clupeaformis (lake whitefish), 517 nucleotides. RefSeq lists it as uncharacterized. The transcript is spliced from 3 exons. The record is from RefSeq and is a predicted model, not a curated record. Lineage: Eukaryota; Metazoa; Chordata; Actinopteri; Salmoniformes; Salmonidae.